Molecule: long non-coding RNA, 338 nt
Organism: Oncorhynchus tshawytscha (Chinook salmon)
Lineage: Eukaryota; Metazoa; Chordata; Actinopteri; Salmoniformes; Salmonidae
Source: Ensembl
GUGAGUUCCUUUCCUCAUUAAACUAUCUCACCCUUUUCCCAAUGCAGAGCCUGGGCUCUAAACUCUGGGAUAGUGUUUGGUUGGUCCUACUUGUUAUAAACUCUGGGACAGUGUUUGGUUGGUUCUACUUGUUAUAAACUCUGGGAUAGUGUUUGGUUGGUUCUACUUGCUAUAAACACUGGGAUAGUGUUAGUGCAGGGUAGCCUAGUGGUUAGAGCAUUGGACUAGUAACUGGAAGGUUGCAAGUUCAAAACCCCAAACUGACAAAGUACAAAUCUGUCGUUCUGCCCCUGAACAGGCAGUUAACCCACUGUUCCUAGGCCGUCAUUGAAAAUAAG